This is a non-coding RNA of Oryzias latipes (Japanese medaka), 1721 nucleotides long. Lineage: Eukaryota; Metazoa; Chordata; Actinopteri; Beloniformes; Adrianichthyidae. The record is from RefSeq and is a predicted model, not a curated record.
GGCCUGAAGUGACUCACUGAAGAAUGUUGGAGAAAGCCCAAGGCCAGACAUGAGUGGACUGAACUCCUCAGCGCCACUCACAGAUCAUUUUGACAGUGGGACAUCUGGAACUGCAUCGUGAUCUGCAUCCUGUUUGAUGAGCACAGACACCAGCAGAAGGGAAGAAGUGUGACUCGCUGUGCUGAGAGCGGUUGGCCGGAUCCCACAGUCACACCUCUGCUGGGGAGGGAACGGCUGCUGCAGAGGUGCAGCAGAUCAGUGUGCAGAAGCUUGAGGUCCUCUGUUCAGAGGUAUCACAGCUAUGUGACACAAGGGGGCAGUGUUGUUCCUCACAACAGAUAAAAAAAGAGGAAAGUAUGUUUUUAAUAUUAUUUCUAUACUGUUAUAAUAAGUGUUCAAUAUAACAUGUAUUCUUUAAUUAACUGUCAGAUUAUGAUUGUAAAAUAAGAUAAUAAGUACAUGUGAAUGUACAAGUCAAACUUACUCCCUCUUGGAUAUUUGUAAAAACAAAAGGGUCCCAAACCUCAUAGUUUUUUCUUUUUCUAACUGGGUCGUUGCUUGAUAAACUACUAAGUAGUGUGCCUCGUGAAAAGAGAAAAAAAAAGCUCAUUUAAAUAAUUAUUUUAUAAUAUAUUUCUAUUUCUCUCUCUAUGUAUAUAUGUCACAAAGAAUAACAGAACAGUUUUCCUGUGGCAGUUCCAAUAUUUGACCAAUAGAUGGAGCAAGAGGCCCGAAAGUGGAUGCUCCCUGUAUUUUGACGGUUAUGAAAUAAUGCAGUUAUAUCAUUAGACUUAACUUAUGAAGGUUUGUCAUAGUAUUUCAUGAGAAAAUUAUUUUCAUUAAAUAACCUUCUUUGUAAUAUAUAUAUAUAUAUAAAAACUUCAGUGUGUAAGUGUUUUUAGAAAGUGUAUUUAGAAAUUAAUAAUAGGAUUAAAAAAGUUGUGACAUAAAGUAAAUGCAUAUAUUGGAUGUGAGAAAUUAAUUUAGUUGCUGUUAUAUAUUUGCAGACUUUUUCUUAUGCCUUUACAGUUACAGGACUGGAACUAUAUCUUCGUCUGCCAGUAAUCUACACAUUUCUCUGACAAAAUUUGAAAAAUGUUACACCACAAAACUCAGAAUGAAUUCAUUCAUGCAUGUUUCUUUGCAGAGUGAAAGUGCACAGCUGCUGUGAUUCCCCUCCAUGCAAACACCACAGCUCAUGUUGCUGUCUAAAAGAUAUAGCUGUUGUGCUUUUCUACACCUUGUUGUCUCACCCUACACUUAAAUAGUUAGUUUCGUCUUUUCUCCCCGAGAAAGAGAUAAUUAUAAUUUCAGCAACGUUUGUCAGCCACAGUGAUUUGUAUGCUGGGGUAAGAGGACAUCGGUGGAUAGGAGGCAGAAAAAAACAGCUGCUCACCAUUCCUGUUCAGCCAGUCACUGCUGGUGAAAGAUGAGCAACGGGAAGGCAGACAGGGGGAUGGAAAGAUGAAAACACAAGAUGAGUGAAGAGAAAAAGUCCUGUUUGGUAUUCACCUGUCUCUCUGGAUCAAUAAAGGUAAUUUGGGCUGAUUCCUCCCCGUAGGCCUCUUAGCAGAUAGAAGGGGAGAGGGGUCAGCUACUGCUGAGCUGCAGGGAGCUGGAAUAACUUAGAAACACACGGCAAAUUACCCAUUCAGCUUUUUCAAUGCCUUGACAAGAGCCUGGAUGUUAAUGAUCCAUUCGGCGUGUAUGCUGAUGAAAUA